ACCUUUCAUCUUCCUCGAGCUCUCCUCUGUUAUUCCGCCAUCGAACCGCCGGUGGCGGCGGAGCUCCAAUUAACCCCAAAACUCUACCAUAUACUCCUCUCCUCACCCCCCUUCCACUCCCAUCAUCAUCUUCUCCCAAAACCCAGCCCAGAUCUUCGAAUUUCAAAUCUGAAGAUUAGUGUAAACCUCUAGUCCGUCCAAAUCCUAUAAAAUCGAUACCAAACUAUUCCCUGACCUCCCUUUCCAAGAUUCCUCGGUAUAAAAUUCUUCGAGCCACUCUGAAGUUCAUCUAACAGUGAGUCAAGGGUGUUAUCAAUUUGGUGCAGCUUUGAAGAUUUUUUGAAGUCGAGUCGAUUUUCCGUUGACGUUAUUUGCUUAUUCUAGUUUGAAUGGGCAAAUAACGUUAACGGGGUGUCGAUUCCGUUGCGAGUUGUCCCGGUUAGAGUUGGGUGAGUUUCCUGUAGUUUUUUCUUAUCUCCUUUGUUUGUUAAUUCAUGUUUUCUUUUCUCACUUUGUUUUAGUUAAUCACUUAAAAUAAUUUGGCUUAAUCCUCUAAGUUAGUACAUUAGUUCUCUCUUGUGGCUCUAUUUAUGUUGGUUUGAAUCAUUUCAGUUUUGAUUUCUGAAUUCUAAUUGUGUGCUCAGUCGUUCUUCCUGAUUCAUUUAGUCGAUUUUAGUUCGUUUCGAAGUCGACUUUCCUGUCAAUUCUAGUUUGAGCUUAGUUUUUAUGUUUAAUUGUUUGUUUGCUAAACUCUAAUUUCCCUGCUUUGCUACUUCUGAUUCAAAACAAUUCUAGUGUUAUGUUUAAUUCUUAAAGUUUUAGUUUUAAUUGUAGUUUAUUAGAACCUGCAUUAGAUGAUUUUAGUUAGUUAGCCUUUAUUAGUAUUAGUUAAUUAGCUAUAAAUAGAUAAAUUGGUUAUAGCUGAAGAAGUCAGCUGUUAAGUUAACUAGGGUUCAGUUCUUAACUAAAGGUUAAAGGGUUGGGUCAAUUGGCUUUAGCUGUAAUUUUAGGGCUGUUAAAAUGGUAGUUUAGACACAGAAAGUGGCAGAAUCUUUAAAAAACAGUAAUUUUAAAAUACGGAAGGGUAACUUAGGAAUUGUAUAACAAAAAGAGUAUACUAGGUGCUUCUAGAAUAGGGUACAAGUACAGAUUUCAGUUCUUAAAAGUAUUUACUUAGUGAGCAAGUUAAAAAUUAAGGGACCAAGCUAUAAAUAAGUAGGGAAUAAUGGUGCAAAUGAAAAAUCUAAGUGUUGCCCUUAUUUGUCUCUAUAAAAGGGCAUUAAAUGCCUGGUAAAAGGGGUCUUCAACUUUUCAGCCUAAAAAUCCAAAGAAAAAGCUUUCCUCUUUUCUCAAAAUUUCAGAUUAACUAGUAGAUUCAAACAAUCAAAAAUACAAAACAUCAGAAAAUGAAAAAUCAAAAAAUAUUUUUCACUAUUUCAUUGAUUAUUGAGUGAUUUUCAGUUUUUUUAGUACUAAAAUGAAAAACCAAAAAUAUUUUUCAUUAUUUCAUUGAUUAUUGAGUGAUUUUCAGUUUUUUCAGUACUCUUCAGUUCUAGUCGAGAUCUUGGUUCUAGGCUGUAUAGAAUUUGCUUGAUAGCUGGUUGAAGGGAUUGUGGGGUUUAUCUAGUUUGAAUUCCAGUGUGUGUAUGCUUCCAGUAGGUUUUCAGAAGUACUGAGGCUAAGUCUUGGGAACUGUUUUGUAUUUUGAAUGUAUAGUGGGUUGAUCUAUUGGGGUUUGGUUGCUCAAUGAGUAUUGCUGGUUUUUAAAAGUACUUCCUGAUUGCUCUUUUGGUUUUGUACCGCUGGUUGUGUUCCCGCUGUUGGCUUCCAUCUUUAUUUGAGCUUACUUCUGCUGCUGCUCACUGUUAGCUCCUGGCUCACUUUUGUUGGUUUUGCUGUUGUAACAGGGUACAUAUUUUGAAUCUCGCAAUAUGAAAUCAAGUUUGAAGAUGGAAUGAAGCAAAUUUUGUCUUAAUCUUAUUUGUUUCCAUGUGUUAAAAAUGGUCUUUCUCUCACAUUUGUUUCAUUUAAAUUAGUGAUAUGGUGAUUUGUCCUCUAGAAUAGUUAAGAAUCAGGAUGUAGCUGAUCAUGGACUCGUGUUAAAAAUGGUCUUGCUCUUACGUUUGUUUCAUUUAAAUUAGUGAUAUGGUGAUUUAUCCUCUAGAAUAGUUAAGAAUCAGGCUGUAGCUGAUCAUGGAUUCUUAAAUUUGAUUUGUUUAGAUUAUGUGGCUCUGGUUUAGUAUCGAUGGUGCAAGUUAACUGUAUAGCCCUUUGUUAUAGAUGUGGAAAUAUCUGAAGAAUUCUUAUGUUAUAUCUGUUGACAGUGAAGGAAUUGAAUACUCUGUUAAGAAGUUGGUUUAUGCUUUGAUAGUGAGCUUUGUUGAAGCAUGAAAAUUACUAAGAAUUUCGACCUACCAUAACUUUGUUUCUUGCGAAAAACGCUUUCGAAGUUUUACUAGAAUGCUAAGAGGAUUAGUCUAAAUAUUAAAAUCAGG
Molecule: long non-coding RNA, 2495 nt
Filed under: Nicotiana benthamiana
Lineage: Eukaryota; Viridiplantae; Streptophyta; Magnoliopsida; Solanales; Solanaceae
Description: long non-coding RNA (NBEN_LNC013378)
Source: RNAcentral